This 192-nucleotide small nucleolar RNA is filed under the name Komagataella phaffii GS115. RNAcentral's name for it is "small nucleolar RNA snR35". It matches the Rfam family "Small nucleolar RNA snR35". Lineage: Eukaryota; Fungi; Ascomycota; Pichiomycetes; Pichiales; Pichiaceae. The record is from Rfam by way of RNAcentral.
AAUUUUAGCUCUUUGUGCGGACAACCAGUACUUUUACCGUGUUGCUUUGUUUCUAAUAGGGCUAUUGUCAGUAGUUCCUCUAGGGAUUUAAGUGUCAAGUACUCGGAGAGAUUAAUAUCACAUUUGGUCAUCUUAACGCCCGGUUGUUGGUUUUGCUUUACAUGCCAGCAAGGGAUGGUAGACCAUACAUCU